GACUAACGCUGGCGGCGUGCUUAACACAUGCAAGUCGAACGGAAAGGCCCUGCUUUUGUGGGGUGCUCGAGUGGCGAACGGGUGAGUAACACGUGAGUAACCUGCCCUUGACUUUGGGAUAACUUCAGGAAACUGGGGCUAAUACCGGAUAGGAGCUCCUGCUGCAUGGUGGGGGUUGGAAAGUUUCGGCGGUUGGGGAUGGACUCGCGGCUUAUCAGCUUGUUGGUGGGGUAGUGGCUACCAAGGCUUUGACGGGUAGCCGGCCUGAGAGGGUGACCGGCCACAUUGGGACUGAGAUACGGCCCAGACUCCUACGGGAGGCAGCAGUGGGGAAUAUUGCACAAUGGGCGGAAGCCUGAUGCAGCAACGCCGCGUGCGGGAUGACGGCCUUCGGGUUGUAAACCGCUUUCGCCUGUGACGAAGCGUGAGUGACGGUAAUGGGUAAAGAAGCACCGGCUAACUACGUG
RNAcentral lists this ribosomal RNA (467 nucleotides) under uncultured bacterium. RNAcentral describes it as "partial 16S ribosomal RNA". It matches the Rfam family "Bacterial small subunit ribosomal RNA", at positions 28 to 507 of the family's 1533-position model. The record is from RNAcentral.